RNAcentral lists this ribosomal RNA (253 nucleotides) under uncultured bacterium. RNAcentral describes it as "partial 16S ribosomal RNA". It matches the Rfam family "Bacterial small subunit ribosomal RNA", at positions 524 to 776 of the family's 1533-position model. The record is from RNAcentral.
UACAGAGGUCUCAAGCGUUGUUCGGAAUUACUGGGCGUAAAGGGUGCGCAGGCCGCGCGGGCAGUCAAAUGUGUAAUUCAGGGGCUCAACCCCUGCACUGCGCUUGAUACUUCCGCGCUCGAGCUUUGGAAAGGAGUCUGGAAUUCUCGGUGUAGCAGUGAAAUGCGUGGAUAUCGAGAAGAACACUGAGGGCGAAAGCAAGACUCUGGACAAAUGCUGACGCUCAUGCACGAAGGCGAGGGUAGCGAACGGG